RNAcentral lists this unclassified non-coding RNA (382 nucleotides) under Hevea brasiliensis (rubber tree). The record is from RNAcentral. Lineage: Eukaryota; Viridiplantae; Streptophyta; Magnoliopsida; Malpighiales; Euphorbiaceae.
GCUUGAACAAAGAAAUACAAAAGAUAAAAUUACAACACCACAAAAUGAUGGGAAAAUUGAACAUUUUUUAUAAUUAUUAAAAAAAGAAAGAAAGAAAGGGAAACAGUAGUAAAAGUUGUUAGUUUUGUUCGUUGGAGAAGGAUGGUCUAUUCAUCAAAUUAUCAUUCCAUGUGUUCAAAUUACGUCUUUUCCACUGCCACACCACUACUGCAAUCAAGAUUGAGAAUCCCACAACGUAUUUUAUCACCAUAAUCACACGAAAUACUGGAUCAUCACCGCAGUAGUAAAAUGGGGCACAUUGAUCAUAAGUUGUAGAACUCUGUGCUACAGAGGUUGUUAUGAAUGUAACAAAUAUAAAAACACUAGCAAGAGUUGAUUUUUU